Zonotrichia albicollis (white-throated sparrow) is the source of this 995-nucleotide non-coding RNA. The record is from RefSeq and is a predicted model, not a curated record. Lineage: Eukaryota; Metazoa; Chordata; Aves; Passeriformes; Passerellidae.
CUGAAGAAAGGGGCUGUUUGGCACUCUUUGGUGCAAUAUGAGCAGCUCACCCUCCUAUAGUAUCUGGGGUUUCUCCAUCGCAUGUUGUAAGCCAAAGCGGUUCCCAGUUGCCACUUUUGGAAGAGAAUUAAAAUCACAUUGUGACUGAUCCAAGAAUCAGACCUGGAAUGUAUAAGCCUGUUUUUGUCUACUCAAGUGCCAAGGGAAGGCAACAUUUGCAGCUGACUGGAGGAAGAGGCCAGAUGUACUCAAAGAUGUUGAGAGGCACUAAUAUAUGGACUGACCAAUUUAUGGAACAGGAUAAAGGAUGGAAAACAAGACAAUUGUGCCAAGAGAAAUUAUUUCAAUCAUUCAAUGUUCCCUGAAGUGUUCUGCAUAAACUUAAAGGUGGGACGGGAGAAAGAGGGUUUCUGCUUUCUUAACUGCAUUGUAAAUGCAACAGGGAGAGUGAUUAAUGGUCUAGGUGCUUAUGAUCUGUAGCACAAAAUAAAGUCAAAUAUUGAAGUCUUCCAUGUUUCACACAUUCAUUCUUGCUUCAUACAACAGUUCACAUGUGAAGGACAGGCUAACAAAACUUCAGGGACUAGUAGUAAUAAACUCUCAAUUUUCCUUGUUUCCCAAACUAUUGAUGUAGCAAUAUGCAUCCAUUCUGGUCAGUGGAAAUGGUUUUUGCAGGUUGAGUAAUCUUUUGUACUGUGCACUACUAUUAUUUUCCUCUAGAGUUUUCCUACUGUAGAAAAUUAUGUGUAUUUGUCUCUUUGUAUCAUUACUGUUGUGAAAUAUGUGCCUGGAUUGGUGACCUCUGAGUCAGAUUUUCUGCCCCUUUGUACUGCUUUUCAGGCCUUUCACCUUUAUUGACUUCAGCAGUGCACAAACUCAGAGGCUUUAAUUAAAUGGACAAAUUCUGCUUGUGUUUGUGCUGUGAUGAAGGCCUGGGUAUUCCUUUGGGUGAAGAUGAGUGUCACUGAGGUCAAGAUGUGGUCCAUCAUUAUCUC